This 763-nucleotide ribosomal RNA is filed under the name uncultured Streptococcus sp. RNAcentral's name for it is "bacterial SSU rRNA". It matches the Rfam family "Bacterial small subunit ribosomal RNA", at positions 28 to 776 of the family's 1533-position model. Lineage: Bacteria; Bacillati; Bacillota; Bacilli; Lactobacillales; Streptococcaceae. The record is from RNAcentral.
GACGAACGCUGGCGGCGUGCCUAAUACAUGCAAGUAGAACGCUGAAGGAGGAGCUUGCUUCUCCGGAUGAGUUGCGAACGGGUGAGUAACGCGUAGGUAACCUGCCUGGUAGCGGGGGAUAACUAUUGGAAACGAUAGCUAAUACCGCAUAAGAGUAGAUGUUGCAUGACAUUUGCCUAAAAGGUGCAAUUGCAUCACUACCAGAUGGACCUGCGUUGUAUUAGCUAGUUGGUGGGGUAACGGCUCACCAAGGCGACGAUACAUAGCCGACCUGAGAGGGUGAUCGGCCACACUGGGACUGAGACACGGCCCAGACUCCUACGGGAGGCAGCAGUAGGGAAUCUUCGGCAAUGGACGGAAGUCUGACCGAGCAACGCCGCGUGAGUGAAGAAGGUUUUCGGAUCGUAAAGCUCUGUUGUAAGAGAAGAACGAGUGUGAGAGUGGAAAGUUCACACUGUGACGGUAUCUUACCAGAAAGGGACGGCUAACUACGUGCCAGCAGCCGCGGUAAUACGUAGGUCCCGAGCGUUGUCCGGAUUUAUUGGGCGUAAAGCGAGCGCAGGCGGUUAGAUAAGUCUGAAGUUAAAGGCUGUGGCUUAACCAUAGUACGCUUUGGAAACUGUUUAACCUGAGUGCAAGAGGGGAGAGUGGAAUUCCAUGUGUAGCGGUGAAAUGCGUAGAUAUAUGGAGGAACACCGGUGGCGAAAGCGGCUCUCUGGCUUGUAACUGACGCUGAGGCUCGAAAGCGUGGGGAGCAAACAGG